AGAGUUUGAUCCUGGCUCAGGACGAACGCUGGCGGCGUGCUUAACACAUGCAAGUCGAACGGACCUUAUUUGGAGGAAGCUUUCGGGUAGACACUGAAUAAGGUUAGUGGCGGACGGGUGAGUAACGCGUAGAUAAUCUACCUUAAAGACUGGGACAACAGUUGGAAACGACUGCUAAUACCGGAUAAGCUAAACGGAAGGCAUCUUCUGUUUAGGAAAGGAGGCCUCUUAACAAUGCUCCCGCUUUUAGAUGAGUCUGCGU
Molecule: ribosomal RNA, 262 nt
Filed under: uncultured bacterium
Lineage: Bacteria
Description: partial 16S ribosomal RNA
Rfam family: Bacterial small subunit ribosomal RNA
Source: RNAcentral